UACACAGACUGGUUUCUGUUUUUGCCCAUAAAAUAGGAAUAAGAACUUUUGGGCUGGUUUCGCUGACUGUCUGUCCCUGGCCAUAUGCGGAAUAAGAUCNNGCCAGGAGACUAAGCGUGUAGAUGUUUUUCAAGGAUUUAUUUCGGACGGGAGUUCGAAUCUCCCCGCCUCCACAU
RNAcentral lists this transfer-messenger RNA (176 nucleotides) under Acidiferrobacteraceae bacterium. Its description in RNAcentral is "partial transfer-messenger RNA". It matches the Rfam family "transfer-messenger RNA", at positions 186 to 374 of the family's 374-position model. From Rfam's summary of the family: Bacterial tmRNA, also known as 10Sa RNA or SsrA, is named for its dual tRNA and mRNA-like properties. Its role is to liberate the mRNA from a stalled ribosome. Lineage: Bacteria; Pseudomonadati; Pseudomonadota; Gammaproteobacteria; Acidiferrobacterales; Acidiferrobacteraceae. The record is from RNAcentral.